Bactrocera neohumeralis is the source of this 1111-nucleotide long non-coding RNA. RefSeq lists it as uncharacterized. The record is from RefSeq and is a predicted model, not a curated record. NCBI's taxonomy places the organism in Eukaryota, Metazoa, Arthropoda, Insecta, Diptera, Tephritidae. The transcript has 3 exons.
UUACAUUGUAUUGGCAUAUUGCUAUCCUUUGAGGAAUAAGAAAAAUGUUUAUUUGCUUACUUUGUGCACAUAUAAUAAAAAGUCUUUCCAAUUAGAAAACAAAUGAAAACAAAAGGAUAAGCUUAAAUAUAUUUCUGUUUAGUAUAUGAUCUCUUCAUUGUUUUCUUGCACAAACAACAGCGAGGGCAAGAUUAGCCAUUAAUACACGGACAAUAACUACAUGUCGCCAAAAUGCUAACACCACACCUCUUGGAUAUUUUGAAUUAUAUGAAAUAGUAUUAAAUAUUUAGCUUAGAAAAUAACAGCACGGAGUGGCAACAUGUCGCCAAAAUGCCUAAAUCACACUUCUUGGAUAUUUUGAAUUCUUUUUGAAUUAGUAUUAAAUAAUUGGACAAAUUGUGCAGAUAUGCUGGAACCACGGAUAGUAACAGAAACAAAAAGAUAUUAUAUGUGAAGUGGUACAAAAAGUCCUAGUGAUAUUGGGGUACAAUGCUAUGAAUCAUUCAAAAAUAUUACAACAAAGAUUUCCUGCUUAUUUGCAAUAGGUGGUUUAAUUAACUAGUCGUGGUGAACGUUAUUGGGAAAUAUGAUUUUGAGCAAGACAAUGUGAUCUUCGUACUGCCUUGCAAGUGCGUGAUGCGUUUGAUACUCUCAUUUUAUCAUAAAAAUAAUAUAUGAUACCUGCUUGAGUUCAAUGAAUUAUAGCGAAAAUACCUCAUUGAGAAGUACAAACGAAGAGAAUGUUUUAAGUAUUUUUAAGUAACAGUUUUUAAAUAUUUAUAUGUAUAUUGUGAUAAAAAAAAUGUUUUCGAAAAUGAUAAAAAAGAAAUGCAUUCCAAAUUUUUAAUAUGCACAAGUUUUCCGCACCAAAUGUACUAAAUGUUUAUAAAAAUUAAUAUGAAUUCAUAUAAAAUAUAUUCAAAAUAUUCUAAUAAUAUUAAAUGUUUCAUAUUUUUUAUUGUCAAUUGGAUUGGCGACAGUUUAUUUCUGUACACUGCAGUAAUGCAAUUUAAGAAAAAUAUAUCCUACCAGAAAUGCUUAAAAUAUUUAAUAAUGUAAUUAUAAACACAAUGGUUUACUCACCUGAUUGAUUAGACGGCAUGAAAUUUUA